RNAcentral lists this transfer RNA (68 nucleotides) under Acropyga butteli. RNAcentral's name for it is "tRNA-Leu". The record is from RNAcentral. Lineage: Eukaryota; Metazoa; Arthropoda; Insecta; Hymenoptera; Formicidae.
UUUAAUAUGGCAGAAAAAGUGCAAUAGAUUUAAAUUCUAUUAUAUAAAGAAUUUAUCUUUUAUUAAAA